UUGGCAUCAAGAGUGCGCGAGGGUCCUGGCCCGAAGACCGCACGGCAACCUGUCCCGAUGCUGUCGGUCGGGGUAAGGUGCCACUGCCAGCGAGGCCAC
RNAcentral lists this non-coding RNA (99 nucleotides) under Phycisphaerae bacterium. RNAcentral's name for it is "SAM-I sequence". It matches the Rfam family "SAM riboswitch aptamer (S box leader)". From Rfam's summary of the family: The SAM riboswitch is found upstream of a number of genes which code for proteins involved in methionine or cysteine biosynthesis in Gram-positive bacteria. The SAM riboswitch acts at the level of transcription termination control. The predicted structure consists of a complex stem-loop region followed by a single stem loop terminator region. The record is from RNAcentral. Lineage: Bacteria; Pseudomonadati; Planctomycetota; Phycisphaerae.